RNAcentral lists this ribosomal RNA (207 nucleotides) under uncultured bacterium. RNAcentral's name for it is "partial 16S ribosomal RNA". It matches the Rfam family "Bacterial small subunit ribosomal RNA", at positions 568 to 774 of the family's 1533-position model. The record is from RNAcentral.
GGUGCAGACGGUUUUUCAAGUCGGGUGUAAAAUCUCCCAGCUUAACUGGGAGGGACCGCUCGAUACUGUGAGGCUAGAGGACAGCAGGGGGAGGUAGAAUUCUCGGUGUAGUGGUGGAAUGCGUAGAUAUCGAGAGGAAUACCAGUGGCGAAGGCGGCCUCCUGGGCUGUUUCUGACGUUCAGACCCGAAGGUGUGGGGAGCAAACA